RNAcentral lists this long non-coding RNA (2340 nucleotides) under Homo sapiens (human). Its description in RNAcentral is "HSALNT0110336". Lineage: Eukaryota; Metazoa; Chordata; Mammalia; Primates; Hominidae. The record is from RNAcentral.
AAAAAAAAAAAAAAAAAAAAAUGUGAUUUGCCAAAGAUGGUAAACUCUUUGUUCCCUUACUGAAUUUUGGUUAAUUUAUAAUUGUUAAUGAAAAUAUGAGGCAAAACUGCAUACUCUCAAAUGAUAGUUCACUCUGAUCCACCAGAAAGAGGAAUAAGAAUGAGGCUCAACAUUGUGGGACUAGGCUCCAACCUAAGUGAGUGUUUUAAACUAACUUAGUGUGUUCCUCAUUGAUGACAAUGACCUAUUUGAAGUCUUCCCCUCUUCAUUACACCCUCAGUGAUCCCAAAGGGUCUUAUCUAAUUUGUUUUCUUUGGUAAACUGAAAAUAACUAUGAAUUAAUUUCACUUUAAUUAACACAUAUCUUUGAACAAUUGAGUGUCUCUCUUUAUUUUUAUUAUUUAUUUAUUCAUUCAUUUAUUUAUUUUUGAGACGGAGUUUCGUUCUUGUUCCCCAGGCUGGAGUGCAAUGGGGCCAUCUCGGCUCACUGCACCUCUGCCUUCUGGGUUCAAGCAAUUCUCCUGGCUCAGCUUCCCGAGUAGCUGGAAUUACAGGCACCUGCCACCAGUCUCUUUUAUUUUAAAUACUAGUUUAGUUUAGUUUGAAUGUUUGGUGUAUCCAAACAAUCAAAUCAGCAAACAACACCUGAAUUCCAAGUGUUAAUUUCCAAUUGUUUGCCACUUUUCACAUUGAUAUCACACCAGAAACUACAACACAAUACAUUCCAAAAAAGUUUAACAUUUUUACUCGUAAUUCCCUGCUCUUCUGUCUCUUUCUGUUACUAACACUUUAUUCACCCAGACCCACAGGCUCAAAUCCUUGGAGUUUCCAUUGACUUUUCUCAAGCAAAGCUUACAUUUUAAGUUUAUAAUACUUUCUUCCUACUCUUUUAUAUUCUAAUUCUUUCCUGCUCUUAUGACUACCACUAUGGCAGAGGUCCUCAAGGAGCACAAGAUAAUCUAUUAAGGAAGAAAGAAAUCAUUAGGAUUUCUACAAAAACAACAACAACAAAAAAUCCUUAGGGGAGGGGCCAAGAUGGCUGACUAGAAACAGCUGCAGUCAGAUGCUCCCACUGAGAAAAAUGAAAAUGGCAAGUGAAUCCUGCACCAACAACUGAAGUAUUAGGGUCUCUCACUGGGAUUGACUAGAUGGUUAGCACGACCUAUGGAGAGCGAGGAAAAACAGGGUAGAGUGACAGCCUACCCGGAAGCCACACAGGUAAGGGGAGCUCCCACUUCCCGCCAAGGGAGGCAGUGAGUGAGUGUGCUACCCCACCUGGGAAACCACGUUUUUUUCCAUGGAUCUGUGCAACCCAUGGAUCAGGACAUCUGCCUCGUGAGCCCACGGCACCAGGGCCUUGGGUCCCAAGCACAGAGCUGUGCAGAUUCUCAGUGGCCACUCAGCUGCAGACUGCCUAAGACUAGUGAGUUCCUGGAGUGAAGGGCAUCAGUCCUCAUUGCCUCUGCCUGCUGCCUAAGAUGACUGAGCUCCGCGGGGAAGGGCAGCAGCCAUCACUACAGCUCUAGUCAGCCAUUUUUCCCCUGCUGGCGCUGGGGAGACUGAGUAGUUUGGACCCAGGAGGAAUUCCUCACAGUGCAGCACAGCAGCUGACAGAUGGUGACCAGACUACCUCUUUAGGCUGGACUCUGACCCAUUCCUUCUCACCGGGUGGAGCCUCACUGCAGGAAUUUCAGCAACUCCAGCCAGGAGUUCACAGACAGAACUCUUGAUUUCCCUGGGAAGGAGCCUCAGUGGGGAGGGACGGUCACAGUCUCCAGGGAUCAGCAGUCUUAGUCUUUCCUCCUGCUGGCUCUGAGGAAUCCAGGCACUCCCAAUGAGAGGAAUUCCCCCGAGUGCAGUGUACCCUCACCAAGGGGCAGCCAGAGUGCUUCAUUAAGUGGGUCCCUGAUACCAUGCCUCCUGACUGGGUGAGACCCACCAACAGGGGCCACCAGACACCUUACACAGGACCAUUCCCGCCAGCAUCAGGUUGGUGUCCCUUUGGGACAGAGCUUCCAGAAGAAGGAGCAGGCAGCCAUCUUUGAUAUUCUGCUGCCUCCACUGGUGACAUCGUCAGGUGAAGGAGGGACCCAGCUGAAUUGGGUCUGGAGAGAACUCCCAGCAAACCGCAGCCCUAUAGAAGAGGGGCCUGCCUGGCAGCCACUCCCAGAGCCCCUGGAACUCUGGCCCAAGGCUCUCUGACUGACUCCUUGCCAGAUCUUCUCGGCUUAGCGGCUGAAGACUGACACUGCCCGAUCGCCUCGGAAGCCCCCUAGACCGUCACGGACGCCGAGCUUCGGGUAACUCUCACAGUGGAAGGUAAGCCCGUCCCCUUCUUAA